RNAcentral lists this ribosomal RNA (459 nucleotides) under uncultured bacterium. Its description in RNAcentral is "partial 16S ribosomal RNA". It matches the Rfam family "Bacterial small subunit ribosomal RNA", at positions 338 to 795 of the family's 1533-position model. The record is from RNAcentral.
CCUACGGGGGGCAGCAGUGAGGAAUAUUGGUCAAUGGCCGAGAGGCUGAACCAGCCAAGUCGCGUGAGGGAAGACGGCCCUACGGGUUGUAAACCUCUUUUGUCGGGGAGCACAGCGAGUCACGUGUGACUCAUUGAGAGUACCCGAAGAAAAAGCAUCGGCUAACUCCGUGCCAGACGACGCGGUACUACGGAGGAUGCGAGCGUUGUCCGGAUUUAUUGGGUUUAAAGGGUGCGAAGGAGGAGGUGCAAGUCAGCGGUAAAAUUGCGGGGCGCAACCCCGUACUGCCUUUGAAACUGCAUCCCUUGAGUGCGCGAGAAGUAUGCGGAAUGCGUGGUGUAGCGGUGAAAUGCAUAGAUAUCACGCAGAACUCCGAUUGCGAAGGCAGCAUACCGGCGCGCAACUGACGCUCAUGCACGAAAGCGUGGGUAUCGAACAGGAUUAGAUACCCCUGUAGUC